AUUGAACGCUGGCGGCAGGCCUAACACAUGCAAGUCGAGCGGUAACAGGAAUAGCUUGCUAUUCGCUGACGAGCGGCGGACGGGUGAGUAACGCGUAGGAAUCUGCCCGGUAGUGGGGGAUAGCCCGGAGAAAUCCGGAUUAAUACCGCAUACGCCCUAAGGGGGAAGCAGGGAGUCUUCGGACCUUGCGCUAUCGGAUGAGCCUGCGUCGGAUUAGCUUGUUGGUGGGGUAAUGGCCUACCAAGGCAACGAUCCGUAGCUGGUCUGAGAGGAUGAUCAGCCACACCGGACUGAGACACGGUCCGGACUCCUACGGGAGGCAGC
Molecule: ribosomal RNA, 324 nt
Filed under: uncultured Gammaproteobacteria bacterium
Lineage: Bacteria; Pseudomonadati; Pseudomonadota; Gammaproteobacteria
Description: bacterial SSU rRNA
Rfam family: Bacterial small subunit ribosomal RNA
Source: RNAcentral